This 465-nucleotide ribosomal RNA is filed under the name uncultured bacterium. RNAcentral's name for it is "partial 16S ribosomal RNA". It matches the Rfam family "Bacterial small subunit ribosomal RNA", at positions 28 to 507 of the family's 1533-position model. The record is from RNAcentral.
GACGAACGCUGGCGGCGUGCUUAACACAUGCAAGUCGAACGGAAAGGCCCUGCUUGCAGGGUACUCGAGUGGCGAACGGGUGAGUAACACGUGGGUGAUCUGCCCUGCACUUCGGGAUAAGCCUGGGAAACUGGGUCUAAUACCGGAUAGGAGCCAUUUUUAGUGUGAUGGUUGGAAAGUUUUUUCGGUGUAGGAUGAGCUCGCGGCCUAUCAGCUUGUUGGUGGGGUAAUGGCCUACCAAGGCGGCGACGGGUAGCCGGCCUGAGAGGGUGGACGGCCACAUUGGGACUGAGAUACGGCCCAGACUCCUACGGGAGGCAGCAGUGGGGAAUAUUGCACAAUGGGCGCAAGCCUGAUGCAGAGACGCCGCGUGGGGGAUGACGGCCUUCGGGUUGUAAACUCCUUUCGCUAGGGACGAAGCUUUUUGUGACGGUACCUAGAUAAGAAGCACCGGCUAACUACGUG